RNAcentral lists this unclassified non-coding RNA (202 nucleotides) under Hevea brasiliensis (rubber tree). The record is from RNAcentral. Lineage: Eukaryota; Viridiplantae; Streptophyta; Magnoliopsida; Malpighiales; Euphorbiaceae.
GGAGGAUAUUUUUGAGGUUAACCUACUUUUCUCCCUCGCAGGUCGUUUAUUAAUGUUUGUAUAAUUCUGUUAACUUCUAGAAUUUCCGCAUGUGUAAGAAAUGUUCAUUUGAUUUGGGUUGUAAUAUAAUUACCAUGUUGGACUUGUAAACUUAUUGUUUUAUAUAUGUUUGAUGGACUGGAUGAGGGAGCUGAGCUCCCAU